Molecule: ribosomal RNA, 372 nt
Filed under: uncultured organism
Description: partial 16S ribosomal RNA
Rfam family: Bacterial small subunit ribosomal RNA
Source: RNAcentral
GUAGGUGGCAAGCGUUGUCCGGAAUUAUUGGGCGUAAAGCGCGCGCAGGCGGUUCUUUAAGUCUGAUGUGAAAGCCCACGGCUCAACCGUGGAGGGUCAUUGGAAACUGGAGAACUUGAGUACAGAAGAGGAAAGCGGAAUUCCACGUGUAGCGGUGAAAUGCGUAGAGAUGUGGAGGAACACCAGUGGCGAAGGCGGCUUUUCUGGUCUGUAACUGACGCUGAGGCGCGAAAGCGUGGGGAGCAAACAGGGAUUAGAUACCCUGGUAGUCCACGCCGUAAACGAUGAGUGCUAAGUGUUAGGGGGUUUCCGCCCCCUUAGUGCUGCAGCUAACGCAUUAAGCACUCGCCUGGGGAUACGGCCGCAAGGCUG